Molecule: ribosomal RNA, 253 nt
Filed under: uncultured bacterium
Lineage: Bacteria
Description: partial 16S ribosomal RNA
Rfam family: Bacterial small subunit ribosomal RNA
Source: RNAcentral
UACGAAGGGGGCAAGCGUUGUUCGGAAUUACUGGGCGUAAAGGGCGCGUAGGCGGCCGAUCACGUCAGGCGUGAAAUUCCCGGGCUCAACCUGGGGGCUGCGCUUGAUACUGAUUGGCUUGAAUGCGGGAGAGGAUAGUGGAAUUCCCAGUGUAGAGGUGAAAUUCGUAGAUAUUGGGAAGAACACCGGUGGCGAAGGCGGCUAUCUGGCCCGUAAUUGACGCUGAGGCGCGAAGGCGUGGGGAGCAAACAGG